Molecule: ribosomal RNA, 447 nt
Filed under: uncultured bacterium
Lineage: Bacteria
Description: bacterial SSU rRNA
Rfam family: Bacterial small subunit ribosomal RNA
Source: RNAcentral
UGGGGAAUAUUGGACAAUGGGCGAAAGCCUGAUCCAGCCAUGCCGCGUGUGUGAUGAAGGCCUUAGGGUUGUAAAGCUCUUUUGCCGGGGACGAUAAUGACGGUACCAGCAGAGGAAGCAUCGGCUAACUACGUGCCAGCAGCCGCGGUAAGACGUAGGAUGCAAGCGUUGUCCGGAUUUAUUGGGCGUAAAGAGUUCGUAGGUGGUUUGUUAAGUUUGGUGUUAAAGAUUGGGGCUCAACCCUGAAACUGCACUGAAUACUGGCAGACUCGAGUGUGGUAGAGGCUAGUGGAAUUCCCAGUGUAGCGGUGAAAUGCGUAGAUAUUGGGAAGAACACCGGUGGCGUAGGCGACUAGCUGGGCCAUAACUGACACUGAGGAACGAAAGCCAGGGGAGCGAAUGGGAUUAGAUACCCGGGUAGUCUCUGAGCGGGCUGGCAAGGCGCAU